Chloebia gouldiae (Gouldian finch) is the source of this 1908-nucleotide long non-coding RNA. Lineage: Eukaryota; Metazoa; Chordata; Aves; Passeriformes; Passeridae. The record is from Ensembl.
CCAUCCAAUCAGCGUCUCCAUCCCAUCCAUGUCCUCAUAUUGUCCUCAUCCCGUCAUCUCCAUCCAAUCAGCAUGUCCAUCCCAUCAACGUUUCCAUCUUGUCACCAUCCCAUCGAUGUCCUCAUCCCAUCGACAUCGCCAUCUUGUCACCAUCCCAUCAUCUCCAUCCUAUCAGCGUUUCCAUCCCAUCGAUGUCCCCAUCUUGUCCCAUCCCAUCCAUGUCCUCAUCCCAUCAAUGUCCUCAUCCCACCAACUUUUCCAUCUUGUCACCAUCCCAUCAACAUUUCCAUCUUGACAUCAUUCCAUUGAUGUCUCCGUCUUGUCUCCAUCCCACCAAUAUCUCCAUACCGUCAAUAUUUUCAUCCCAUCAGUGUCUCCAUCCCAUGAAAGUUCUCAUCUCAUCAAUGUCACCAUCCCGUGAAGGUUCUCAUUCCAUCCAAGUCUCCAUUUUGUCUCCAUCCCAUCAAUGUCUCCAUCUUGUCACCGUCCCGUCGUCUCCAUCCCAUCCAUGUCCCCAUCCCGUCAUCACCAUGAGCUCGGCCGUCAUCAUCACCUCAACCACCAUCACCCUGACCAUGACCACCAUGACCAUCGCCAUCAUCUUGACCAUGCCUAUGACCAUCACUUGCCCAUCAUCUUGACCGUGGCCACCGUCACCAUGACCACGCCCAAGACCAUCACCAUGCUCAUCACAUUUUGGGGCCACCACCCCACGUGGACUUUGGGGCCAUCACCCCAUGUCCACGUUGAGGUUCACUGAUGUUCACAUUUUGGGGCCACCACCUCACGUCCACUUUGGGGUUCACCAAUGCCCACUUUGGGGCCACCAACACCCAUUAUUGGGUUCCUUGAUGUUCACAUUUUGGGUCCACCACCUCACAUUGAUUUUGGGGUUCACCAAUGCCCAUUUUGGGGUCCCUGAUGCCCAUUUUGGGGUUCCUGGUGCCCAUUCAGGGUCCCUGAUGCCCAUUUUGGGGUUUUCAAUGCCCAUUUUGGGGUCUCUGAUGCCCAUUUUGGGGUUCCUGGUGCCCGUUUCGGGGUCCCUGAUGCCCAUUCGGGGUCUGAUGCCCAUUUCGGGGUCCCUGAUGCCCAUUUUGGGGUUCCUGGUGCCCAUUUCGGGGUCCCUGAUGCCCAUUUUGGGGUCUCUGAUGCCCAUUUUGGGGUUCCUGGUGCCCGUUUUGGGGUUCCUGAUGCCCAUUUUGGGGUCUCUGAUGCCCAUUUUGGGGUUCCUGGUGCCCGUUUUGGGGUUCCUGGUGCCCUUUCGGGGUCUGAUGCCCGUUUUUGGGUCCCUGUUGCCCAUUUUGGGGUUCUCAAUGCCCAUUUUGGGGUCUCUGGUGCCCGUUCGGGGUCUGAUGCCCAUUUUGAGGUCCCUGAUGCCUGUUUUGGGGUCCCUGAUGCCCAUUUUGGGAUUCCUGGUGCUCAUUCAGGGUUCCUGGUGCCCAUUUGGGUCCCUGAUGCCCAUUUUGGGGUUCCUGAUGCCCGUUUUGGGGUUCCUGAUGCCCAUUUCGGGGUCCCUGAUGCCCAUUUCGGGUUUCCUGGUGCCCGUUCGGGGUCUGACGCCCGUUUCGGGGUUCCACAGUGCGGACGUGUCCCCAGGCCCACCUGAGCCUGGAGAACGGGCAGGUGGCCGCGGGGGCCAUGGAGAAGGUGCCCGUGGAGGGCACCUGGGCCAGGUUCUCCUGCCGGCCCGGCUUCCGCCUGGUGGGCGCCGCGCGCAGCAACUGCACCCGGAGCGGGCGCUGGAGCCAGCCCCGGCCCCACUGCCUGCGUCAGUCAGGGUUUGGGGUUUGGGGUUUUGGGGAGGUUUGGGCAUUUUGGGGCUUUUGGGGCUUUUGGGGUUUUGGGGGGUUUUGGGGGUUUUGGGGUUUUUGGGGUUUUUGGGGUUUUUGGGUUUUUUUGGGGGGGUUU